This 1271-nucleotide ribosomal RNA is filed under the name metagenome. RNAcentral describes it as "bacterial SSU rRNA". It matches the Rfam family "Bacterial small subunit ribosomal RNA", at positions 236 to 1498 of the family's 1533-position model. The record is from RNAcentral.
UCAGAUUAGCUUGUUGGUGAGGUAAGAGCCCACCAAGGCGACGAUCUGUAGCGGGUCUGAGAGGAUGAUCCGCCACACUGGAACUGAGACACGGUCCAGACUCCUACGGGAGGCAGCAGUGGGGAAUUUUGGACAAUGGGGGCAACCCUGAUCCAGCCAUGCCGCGUGAGUGAAGAAGGCCUUCGGGUUGUAAAGCUUUUUCAGCCGGGAAGAAAACGCAUGGGUUAAUACCCUGUGUGGAUGACGGUACCGGAAUAAGAAGCACCGGCUAACUACGUGCCAGCAGCCGCGGUAAUACGUAGGGUGCGAGCGUUAAUCGGAAUUACUGGGCGUAAAGCGUGCGCAGGCGGUUUUGUAAGACAGGCGUGAAAUCCCUGGGCUUAACCUGGGAACUGCGUUUGUGACUGCAAGGCUAGAGUACGGCAGAGGGGGGUGGAAUUCCACGUGUAGCAGUGAAAUGCGUAGAGAUGUGGAGGAACACCAAUGGCGAAGGCAGCCCCCUGGGUCGAUACUGACGCUCAUGCACGAAAGCGUGGGUAGCAAACAGGAUUAGAUACCCUGGUAGUCCACGCCCUAAACGAUGUCAACUAGGUGUUGGGAGGGUAAAACCUUUUAGUACCGGAGCUAACGCGUGAAGUUGACCGCCUGGGGAGUACGGCCGCAAGGUUAAAACUCAAAGGAAUUGACGGGGACCCGCACAAGCGGUGGAUGAUGUGGAUUAAUUCGAUGCAACGCGAGAAACCUUACCUACCCUUGACAUGCCAAGAACUUUCCAGAGAUGGAUUGGUGCCCGAAAGGGAACUUGGACACAGGUGCUGCAUGGCUGUCGUCAGCUCGUGUCGUGAGAUGUUGGGUUAAGUCCCGCAACGAGCGCAACCCUUGUCGUUAAUUGCCAUCAUUUAGUUGGGCACUUUAACGAGACUGCCGGUGACAAACCGGAGGAAGGUGGGGAUGACGUCAAGUCCUCAUGGCCCUUAUGGGUAGGGCUUCACACGUCAUACAAUGGUCGGUACAAAGGGUCGCCAAGCCGCGAGGUGGAGCCAAUCCCAGAAAGCCGAUCGUAGUCCGGAUCGCAGUCUGCAACUCGACUGCGUGAAGUCGGAAUCGCUAGUAAUCGUGGAUCAGAAUGUCACGGUGAAUACGUUCCCGGGUCUUGUACACACCGCCCGUCACACCAUGGGAGCGGGUUCCGCCAGAAGUAGGUAGCCUAACCGCAAGGAGGGCGCUUACCACGGCGGGGUUCGUGACUGGGGUGAAGUCGAAACAAGGUA